CACGUUGUUUGAUUCGAUUGCCUGCAACUAAUCGUGUGAGUCAAGAAAUUCCUCCAUAUUCAUUGACCACACACGAUAGUUGGUCUUCGAGAGCUUGAGGGAUGGCGCCGGCAGCACAUCUCCCCCCCAGGCUCGCCGGAUGAGCUCGCCUCGCUGGUCUUCUUCACCAUCUUCAAGAUCCACUGAAUCGAGUGGCUCUGAUACCACUUGUUGGCUUCUUGAACUCAUAACUGCUUCAAGAAAUCCUUAAAAUAGCAUAGGAACAGAAGAACGCCAUGGAUAACAAGAAAUCAAG
This 295-nucleotide long non-coding RNA is filed under the name Spirodela polyrhiza (greater duckweed). RNAcentral's name for it is "long non-coding RNA (SPOL_LNC001867)". The record is from RNAcentral. Lineage: Eukaryota; Viridiplantae; Streptophyta; Magnoliopsida; Alismatales; Araceae.